This 465-nucleotide ribosomal RNA is filed under the name uncultured bacterium. RNAcentral's name for it is "bacterial SSU rRNA". It matches the Rfam family "Bacterial small subunit ribosomal RNA", at positions 8 to 461 of the family's 1533-position model. The record is from RNAcentral.
AGAGUUUGAUCCUGGCUCAGGAUGAACGCUAGCGGCAGGCCUAAUACAUGCAAGUCGUACGGGAUCUACUGGUAAGCUUGCUUAUUGGUAGUGAGAGUGGCGCACGGGUGCGUAACGCGUGAGCAACCUACCCUUGUCAGGGGGAUAGCCCGGCGAAAGUCGGAUUAAUACCGCAUGACAUCAUUNGAGAGGCAUCUUUCGAUGAUCAAAGAUUUAUCGGACAAGGAUGGGCUCGCGUGACAUUAGCUAGUNUGGUAAGGUAACGGCUUACCAAGGCUGCGAUGUCUAGGGGCUCUGAGAGGAGAAUCCCCCACACUGGUACUGAGACACGGACCAGACUCCUACGGGAGGCAGCAGUAAGGAAUAUUGGUCAAUGGACGGAAGUCUGAACCAGCCAUGCCGCGUGCAGGAAGACGGCCCUAUGGGUUGUAAACUGCUUUUAUACGGGAACAAACGUCGGUACGU